UGGGUUCCUUUGACAUCCUGCGAACUUGGUAGAGAUACCUUGGUGCCUUCGGGAGCGCAUUGACAGGUGCUGCAUGGCCGUCGUCAGCUCGUGUCGUGAGAUGUUGGGUUAAGUCCCGUAACGAGCGCAACCCUUGUCCUUAGUUGCCAGCGGUCCGGCCGGGAACUCUAGGGAGACUGCCGGUGACAAACCGGAGGAAGGUGGGGAUGACGUCAGGUCAUCAUGGCCCUUACGGCCAGGGCUACACACGUGCUACAAUGGGGCGCACAGAGGGCAGCAAGCGCGCGAGUGCAAGCGAAUCCCUUAAAACGCCUCGUAGUCCGGAUCGGAGUCUGCAACUCGACUCCGUGAAGUCGGAAUCGCUAGUAAUCGCAGAUCAGAAUGCUGCGGUGAAUACGUUCCCGGGUCUUGUACACACCG
Molecule: ribosomal RNA, 420 nt
Filed under: Pseudomonas sp. enrichment culture clone TTGE_BC_73
Lineage: Bacteria; Pseudomonadati; Pseudomonadota; Gammaproteobacteria; Pseudomonadales; Pseudomonadaceae
Description: bacterial SSU rRNA
Rfam family: Bacterial small subunit ribosomal RNA
Source: RNAcentral